ACACCUGACUUAAUUAACAUGUAAUUGAAUCCAUUGUGAUCUAGGUCUUAAUAACCCAAACAAAGAACAUUCCAUGGGCAAAUUCGACACAUAGUUUUCAUUAUUUUAUUGACAUGCAUACUUCAUGCGAAAAUUAUGUUUUUACUAGCGAAGCUGCCACUAUAUUUUAGGGCCAAUUACAUAGAAGUCCAUUUUGAGACAUUUUUUUUCCAUAUAAGUCCACCCAAUUCUAAAUAAAGUUUAUAUUAGUUAUUGAAGUUCAACAUAAUUACAAACUGUCAUUCAACCAAAAAAAUUAAAUUAUCUCUCUUAUAUUACAAGAAUGCCACUAUUAUGAAAAGUCAACAACUACUCUCUUCUCUAAAAAAGUCUCCGGCCGACCUCCGACGAGGUCUCCAGCAAACUCUGACCGAUCUUUGGUGAAUUUUCCAACCGACCUCUGGUGAGGAUUUUGAUGACCAUAAAAGAUACUACUAUCUAUAACAAAAGAUAUCAUCGUCAUUAACAACAAAUACCACUGCCAGCAACAAAAAAUACUACCACAAACAACAAUAACUACUACAAUCAGUUAUAAAAGAUAUUACCGCAAGCAACAAAAUCUACUACCUCCACCAAUUAAAACUACGACAACCACCAACAAAAACUACUACCGAUAUAAACAAAAGCUACUACCCCUAUAUACAAAAGCUAUUGCCACAACACCGAGAUAAACAAAAGCUACUACCAACAUAAACAAAAGCUACUACCCCUAUAUACAAAAGCUACCGCCACAACAAAAGCUACUACCGACAUAAACAAAAACUAUUACCAAUGUCAGGACCCACCCCGAAUUUCACCCUGAAACCCGAAUUAAAUCCUACGGGGUCCACCUCCAAGGAAAAUUUACCGAAAAAAAUUUGGCAUAACUUCCCUUGAAAGUUGACAACCCUUACCUGAAAAAUUCAGAAUACACUCCUAUAACGAAACAACCACAUCCUCAACUUCUAGAGCCACCCGCUCCCCACAAACACAACCACCACAAUAAAAUAAUAAAACCAUCCCCAAUUCAUCACAUAAAUAUCCAACUAAAAUAACAAACUGCAUCCUUUGGAUAUUCUAAAAUAUAAUCAUAAGCCUUAGCACACAACCAAAAUAUGAUACAAAAUCCCCAAGGGUAAUCAGAGCUACUAAACACUAGAGGAAACAAGAAAAUACACUGGUAGGUUAAGCAGGUAACCUACUGGUGAAAAAUGGUGGAGAUGUAGAUAACUAUGCCUUGCCUCCUACUAGUACUAACCCGAACUUUGCAGACUGGGCAUUUUUUAAAACGAAGGGCCCAAGAGAAAACAUUUGCAAACGUUAGAGUGAGUGAACAAAAAUAAAUUAAUAAAAAGAAUAACUAAAAUAUUUAUGCAUUCCCAAUUUAAAUUCCAUAAAAAAUAUAUUGCAUGCGACAGCUUAAAAGCUCUCAACUCAUAAACUGGCAAUUACAUGUAGAUCCAAAACUUAAUAAAAUAGAACCUGUCAGGCUAAACUAUAUAUAAAUAUAUAUAUAUAUAUAUUUACAUUCGUAAGAUUCCUUGUACGAAUUCUAUGAAAAAAUAAGAAAGAUAGAAAUUCAUCACGUCGCACCAUAAUGAAACUUUACCUCAUUAUGACGGAACAAGACUGGUGUAUAUACGUGUAGAUCCCCUACAUGAAAACCUAUACAAAAAUAUAAGAAAGUAGUUUUCAUAUAGAGUUACGACGCUUGCAUCUAACGCUCACGUCGCGUUAUAAUGGAAUUUUACCUCAUUAUGACGGAACAAGGACGUAUGGCUAGCUAGCAUUUAUUAUACAUACUAUCCUCAUAAUAUUCAAAUACAUAUUCACCGAAAAUCUCAUUUUCGGUAAGUAUUAAAAAUGAUGAAAAUUGCCAAAUAUCCGAAAAAGCAAUAAAUCCCAGUAGAAGAAUAACUGAUCAACAAAAUAAUGCAUCGCAUGCUUUUAAAUUAAAACCAAGUCCACUCACAAAUUAGGCCUAAGCCUGAUGUCGAUCCAAGGCCUCUUCUGCUCGAGCCUCCUCACGUCCUGUUCCAAAUUAUAAUUAAAUUCCCAACCAAAAAUCCAAUAUUUAUACAAAAUAGGCGAAAUUAAACGUGAGCCGUAACCACGCUCAUCAUUGCCUAACUUCAAUAUUCCUAAUUCGAUACGGUCCACACUUCAACAUCAAAACCAGCAGCCUUAAAAUAAUCCCCUACAGAUUAAACAACUUUAAUUCAACGGCCGGAUUCUACCCUAAUUAACCGCCAAAAUACCAAACUUUGAAAAAUCUCAGACCUAUCCAAAACUCCUCAAAAAAUUCCAAACUUCACAUGAUUAGUCUCCCUUUAAUAUAACACAUUUAAAACCAUGAAAAUCUCAAUAACAGCGGCGGUGCCGCUGUCUGCUCUGCCAACACCGACGACCUCUAAUGCCUACCAAAUUUUAGCAGCGUCUUCCUCUCAACCCACUCUACAACUUUCCUAACUAGCACAAACACCAAUUCCAAGCCUAACUAGGUCAAUCGGAAAAAAACAUUUCAAGAAACCCUAGAACUUCUACUCACCGAUUCUCCUCACCUGAAGCAAACUGGAUUGAGUCCUUUUAGGGCAAGGCUACUGGGUUGAAGACCUUCAAAACCAUAUAAGGCUUGCCUGGAUUGGUGGCCGGAGGAGGAAGUUCCGGCGACGGAACACCACGAACGACCAGAGCUCUCGGGCGCGAUAUCUCCUUCACGGUGGCGCUAGAGAGGUUGCCACCGGUCCAUGAAGGAAGAGGAGAUGAUGGCCGACCGUUUGGGACCGGUCAAGAAUCUGAACUGGCUCCUCUUCCUAGGUCAAAUCUUUCUGCAAACUAAUCGGCUGCUCUUGCAACACAUGGGAUGGAUCGGCAAUAUACUUGCGAAGCAUGGAUACAUCAAACACAUUAUGUAUCCUGGAUAGUUCUGGAGGCAAAACUAACCGAUAAGCAAGUGAACCGACUCGCUCUAUAAUCUCAUAAGGGCCAAUAUACCUCGGACUAAGCUUCCCACGUUUACCAAAACGUACUACCCCUUUCCAAGGAGAUAGUUUCAAGAACACCCAAUCACCCACUUGAAACUCUAAGUCUUUCCUGCGGACAUUUGCAUAACUCUUCUGCCUACUUUGAAUGGCCUUAAGUCUAUCUUUGACCACUUUAAUCUUUUCAUUUGUAUCAUGGAUUAACUCCGGGCCACAGAGCUCUUUUUUUCCUACUUCAUUCCAACACAAAGGUGUAUGACACUGCUUCCCAUAAAGUGCCUCAAAGGGAGCCAUACCAAUACUAGAAUGGUAGCUGUUGUUGUAUGCAAUUUCCAUCAAAGAUAGAUUCUUAUCCCAACUCCCCCUGAACUGCAUGGCACACGAUCUCAACAUAUCCUCCAAAGUCUAGAUAGUCCUCUCAGAUUGCCCAUCAGUUUGAGGAUGAAAAGUAGUGCUGAAGUGUAAUCAGGUACCUAAAGCUGCCUGAAGAGCUCCCUAGAAUUUAGAAGCAAAUCUAGGAUCUCGAUCCGACACUAUUGAUUUAGGUACACCAUGUAGUCUCACAAUCUCAUUCACAUAAAGUUCCGCCAAUUUAUCUAGCGUAUACUUCUUUCCCACUGGCAAGAAAUGUGCAGAUUUGGUGAGUCUAUCCACAAUCACCCAAACACCGUCAUGCCCAUCACGGGUACGAGGUAAACUGAAAACAAAAUCUAUGGUGAUGUGGCCGGUCCCACUUCCACACUGGAAUGGUCAACGAUUCAAACAAUCUAGAAGGUUUCUGCCUUUCAGCUUUCACUUGUUGACAGAUCAAACAUCUACUCACAAAAUCUGCAAUUUCCCUCUUCAUGUUUGGCCACCAAUAAAAAUCCUUCAAAGUCCGAUACAUUUUUGUACUACCAGGGUGUGCAGCAUAUGCAGAACUAUGGGCUUCUUCCAUUAUCUCCUUCUUUAACUCUUCAUUUCUCUUUGGAACACAAAGUCUAUUUUUGAACAAUAAAGUUCCAUCUCUUCUAACUGAAAAAUCAACGGUGGUUCCACUCAAUGUUCUUUCUAUCAACCGAACUAUGGAAGGGUCAUCAUACUGUGUCUCUCGCACCUUAUCAACCAAAACUGGUCUCACAUGAAAACUAACUACCAAGGCACCAACUUCAUCCACCGCUAAAUCCAUCCAUGUAGCUCGCAACUCAUAAAGAAGUGGAACACGAACCGUCCUCAUGUGAGACAAAGAUAUGGAGGGAUUUCGACUAAGAGCAUCCGUUACUACAUUAGCUUUUCUAGGAUGAUAAAUAGUGCAAUCAUAAUAAUUGUUCAACUCCAUCCACCUUCUCUGUCUCAUAUUUAACUCUCUUUAAGUAAACACAUACCGAAGACUUUUGUGAUCGGUAAAAAUCUGACACUUGGCUCCAUAAAGAUAGUGCCUCCACAACUUGAGAGCAAAUACUACCGUUGCAAGCUCUAGAUCAUAAGUGGGAUAAUUCAUCUCAUGUGGCUUCAAUUGCCUAGAAGCGUAGGCAAUAACUCGAUCAUGUUGCAUCAAUAUUUCGCCUAGACCUCGUCUAGAAGCAUCACAAUAAACCACAUACUUCCCACUAUCAUCCGGAAGUGCCAAAACAGGAGCGCUAGUCAAGCGAUUGUUUAAUUCUUGAAAACUUUGCUCACAUUGAUCUGACCAUUCGAACUUAACUUCCUUCUUGGUCAAUCUUGUAAGUGGAGCAGUAAUCUUUGAAAAAUCUUACACAAAACGUCGAUAAUAACCUGCUAACCCUAAGAAACUGCAAAUCUCCGUCACAGUGGUGGGUCUUCUCUAAUUGGACACUGCUUCCACCUUUUGGGGAUCCACACUAACACCUUCUGCAAAAACUACAUGUCCCAAGAACCCCACUUUAUCCAGCCAAAAUUCACACUUGUUGAAUUAAGCAUACAAUUGAGCAUUUCGUAAAGUAUGCAAUAUCAUUCUUAGAUGUUUGGCAUGCUCCUUCUCACUUCUUGAGUAAACCAAGAUGUCAUCUAUGAAUACGAUCACGAAACGAUCAAGAUAUGGACUAAACACCUUAUUCAUGAGAUGCAUGAACGCAGCGGGUGCAUUAGUAAGUCCUAACGGCAUCACCACAAAUUCAUAAUAACCAUAACGUGAUCGAAAAACAGUCUUAGCUAUGUCACUCUCUCGGAUCCGCAGUUGAUGAUACCCAGAUCUCAAGUCAAUCUUUGAGAAAACAGAAGUACCCCUCAACUGAUCAAAUAGAUCAUCAAUGCGAGGCAACGAAUAUUUAUUCUUCACCGUGACUUGAUUUAGCUUCCUAUAAUCAAUGCAUAGUCUCAUGGUGCCAUCUUUCUUCUUAACAAACAACACUGGAGCACCCCAUGGAGACAUGCUAGGCCAAAUAAAACCCUUGUCUACCAACUCCUGCAGUUGAGUCUUCAACUCUUUCAAUUCCGCUGGAGCCAUUAUGUAAGGUGUUUAUGAGAUAUGUAUAGUUCCGGGAAGUAACUCAAUAGAAAAGUCUACCUCCCUUACAGUAGGCAAACUAGACAACUCCUCGGGAAAAACAUCCGGAAACUCCUUUACUACAGGAAUAUCCUUUACUCCCAAAACUCCCACACUUGUAUCCACAAUAUGAGCUAAAAACGCCUGACAACCUUUGUAAUAUCCCAUAUCGGCCAAACGGAGAGGGGUUAUGUGCUGUAUAUGUACAUGCCCACCUCCAAUCUAAUACGAGGCCUUUUGGUGGCUCAGCGGCUUCGGAGGGGAUGGGUACUCCGAGAUUAAGCAUGAUGAUGCUAGAGCAAUCCCAAGAUGGGUGACCUACUGGGAAGCUGCUCCUGAGCUGCCGGAAACAAAACCGUGAGGGCCGGUGGGCCCAAAGCGGACAAUUUCGUGUUACGGCGGAAUAGUUCCUGGGAUGUGACAAAUGGUAUCAGAGCCACUCUGCCGUGUGGUGCGAGUGUGCCGACGAGGGCGUCGGACUCCCAAGGGGGGUGGAUUGUAAUAUCCCACAUCGGUCAAAUGGAGAGGGGUUAUGUGCUGUAUAUGUACAUGCCUACCUCUAAUCUAAUACGAGGCCUUUUGGUGGCUCAGCGGCUUCGGAGGGGAUGGGUACUCCGAGGUUAAGCAUGAUGAUGCUAGAGCAAUCCCAGGAUGGGUGACCUACUGGGAAGCUGCUCCUGAGCUACCGGAAACAAAACCGUGAGGGCCAGUGGGCCCAAAGCGGACAAUUUCAUGUUACGGCGGAAUGGGUUCUGGGAUGUGACAACCUUUAUUUAACAAUUUCCUAGUAGCAACGGCUGAUAUCAGGCAACUCGAAAUAACAUCUCUUUCCCCUUGAAAUGUAACCUCCGAUCCUUCUGGACUUCGAAACACCACUACUUUUCAGAAACAAUCUACCAUAGUUCUAUAAGCCUCCAAAAAGUCUAUUCCCAAGAUCACAUCAAACUCCACUAUAUCUAAAGGAAUUAGAUUAGCAUUAAACUUAAAUCCCUCCCCAGCCACUAAACACCCAAUUUAUUCUCAUUACCUCUCUGGAGGGUAGAGACACAUGCCACUCGCCUGGAAGGGACGAUGAUGGCACAUUGGCGUGGAGGGCAAAUCUACUAGACAUAAAUGAAUGCGUGGCUCCAGGAUCAAUUAAAGUAAAUGCAAGCUGACCAAAAAAUAAUAACGUACCAAUGAUAACCUCUAGAGAAGUACGACCCUCCUGCUGGGUCAUAGUAUGAAGUCUAGCGCGAGACAUGGGACAUCCACGCUGACCACCACCUUGCUGAGAGCCACCCCUGGCCGCUACACUGCCCUGAGUACCACUAUUGGAGCCUUUGGCUAAAGACUGACCAACUGGAUGAGUAUGGGUGGGGGUGGUCCUCUGAGCCAACAAUGGAUAAUCUCUCCUGAAGUGGUCCUGACUACCACACUCAUAGCACCUAGUAAACUGCUGCUGUCCAUAAGAAAAAGUUUGACCACCAGAUGUCCCACCCUGGAAGCUGCCACCAGUACCAAAUUGUCCAAUCUGCUGUCUACCCAACUAACUCUGGAAAGGUCUCCUGAAAUGUCCUCUAGUCCUAUUCUGAGCACCAGAGCUCGAUCCAUUGCUAUUUCCACUACCAGCAGAAGACCCAGAAGCAGAUGAGGAAGCGGUUUUCUUGGAUGAACCCUGACUAGGACCGCUGAAAUUUCGGGGCCGAGCACUAUGUGUCCCAAUGGUCUCAAUAGCCAUAGCUGCACUAACCACAUCAAGAAAGGUCGGGUACACUACCCCUAUCAUCUUAUCAGCAUAAACACCACCAAGUGCCCCAAUGAACAUCCCAAUCUUGGUCCUCUCAUUAAGAACCAGAUAUGACACAUGAUAGCUCAGGGUAGUGAAUCUCUGCUCGAACUCUAUGACACCCUCAUCAUCCCUAUUCUUCAUGUUCAGGAAAUCCGACUGAAUCCUGCUACGAUGAGCAUGACUGAAAUACUGCCCCAAGAAGAGUGUCUUAAACUGCUCCCAUGUCAUAUCCUGAGCACCCUCAAUAUCCCUGAUGGCAAGUGACCACCAAUGAUACACUGAAUCAUCUAGAAACGUCACCGCCAUAUCCACCUUCUUUUCUUCCGGGAUAUCAGUACUCCUAAAACCUUUUUCCAUCUUACCUACCCAAGUGUAUGCAUCAAGGGGUCCCUUGGCACCCUUGAACUCAAUUGCCCCAGCCUCGAAAACAUCCCUCUUCUUCACAGUCCGAGGGUUCUGAACUUUAUCUAAAACACCCCUCAGCAUAUUCCCAAUAGAAUCCACUAAUCCCCUGAGGAAGAAGAUUGGCGUUGGUCGAAUUAGCUACCCGGGGUUGGCGUCUAGGAGGCAUAGUACCUGAGGAAGAAGAUAUUUAGUAGUCUAUAAACAAGACUAACAGAACUAUCACACAUACCCAAUAACAUAUAGCAUCCAAAGCAUAAACUGCCAAUGAAUCCGCCGCGGUCGGAUCACCACUCUAUAGACACUACGUGCUACUUAGGCAAAUAUGAUAAUAAUAAGGAGGCAGGAAAUAAAACCUAAAGCUUUAAUACCAACUGUCAGGACUCACCCCGAAUUUCACCCUGAAACCUAAAGUCAAUCCUGCGGGGUUCACCUCCAAGGAAAAUUUAUCGAAAAAGUUUAGCAUAACUUCCCUUGAAAGUUGACAACCCUUACCUGAAAAAUUCAGAAUACACUCCUAUAACGAAACAACCAUCCUCAACUUCUAGAGCCACCCGCUCCCCACAAACACAACCACCACAAUAAAACAAUAAAACCAUCCCCCAAUUCAUCACAUAAAUAUCCAACUAAAAUAACAAACUGCAUCCUUCGAAUAUUCUAAAAUGUAAUCAUAAGCCUUAGCACACAACCGAAUGAAUUUCAUUUACAUUCAUCAGAUUCCUUAUAUGAAUUCUAUGAAAAAAUAAGAAAGAGAUAGAAAUUCAUACAAGGCUACGACUCUUACAUCUAGUCUAACGCUCACGUCGCAUCAUAAUGAAACUUUAUCUCAUUAUGACGGAACAAGAUGGGUGUAUAUACAUGCAGAUCCCCUAUAUGAAAACCUAUACGAAAAUAUAAGAAAAUAGUUUUCAUAUAGGGCUACGAUGCUUGCGUCUAACGCUCACGUCGCGCCAUAAUAAAAUUUUACUUCAUUAUGACGGAACAAGCACGUAUGACUAGCUAGCAUUUAUUAUACAUGCUAUCCUCAUAAUAUCCAAAUACAUAUUAACCAAAAAUCUCAUUUUUGGUAAGUCUCAAAAAUGAUGAAAAUUGUCAAAUAUCCGAAAAAGCAAUAAAUCCCAGCAGAAGAAUAACUGAUCAACAAAAUAAUGCAUCGCAUGCUUUUAAAUUAAAACCAAGUCCACGCACAAAUUAGGCCUAAGCCUGAUGUCGAUCUGAGACCUCAUCUGCUCGAGCCUCCUCACGUCAUGUUCUAAAUAUAUAAUUAAAUUCCCAACCAAAAAUCUAAUAUUUAUACAAAAUAGGCGAAAUUAAACGUGAGCCGUAACCACGCUCAUUAUUGCCUAAUUAACCACCAAAAUACCAAACUUUGAAAAAUCUCAAACCUAUCCAAAACUCCUCCAAAAAUUCCAAACUUCACAUGAUUAGUCUCCCUUUAAUAUAACACAUUUCAAACCAUGAAAAUCUCCCUAACAGCGGCGGUGCUGACGUCUACUCUACCGGCAGCGGCGACCGGCACCGGUGACCUCUAAUGCCUACCAAAUUUUAGCAGCAUUUUCCUCUCAACCCACUAUACAACUUUCCUAACUAGCACAAACACCAAUUCCAAGCCUAACUAGAUCAAUCGAACAAAAACAUUUCAAGAAACACUAGAACUUCUACUCACCGAUUCUCCUCACCUGAAGCAAACUGGAUUGAGUCCUUUUAGGGCAAGGCUACUGGGUUGAAGACCUUCAAAACCAUAUAAGGCUUGCCCGGAUUGGUGGCCUGAGGAGGAAGUUCCGGCGACGGAACACCACGGACGACCAGAGCUGUCAGGACCUACCCCGGAUUUCCCCUUGAAAUCCGGAAUAAACCCUGCGGGACCCACCUCAAGGGAAAUUCUACCAAAAUUUUGGCAUAACUUCCCUUGAAAAUGAGUAACCCUACCUAGAAGAAAAAAAUCACCAAAACCCAAACACUUCUAAAACAAUUCAAUCCACGUCUUCUGCAGCCAUCCGCUCCUCCAAAUAAACAUCCACCACCUCAACCAACAUAAUAAAUCGAAAUAAUUUCAUGAAUUUAAUCCCUCAUAUAACAUGCCAAAUAAACCUUUUUCAACACUCAUAGGUGGAGUCAUAAGCUCUUAACUCGCAACAUUAACAACAACAACAACACUUAAAACAUCCCAAGGUUAUCAGAGCAAC
This 9843-nucleotide long non-coding RNA is filed under the name Fragaria vesca (wild strawberry). RNAcentral describes it as "long non-coding RNA (FVES_LNC005478)". Lineage: Eukaryota; Viridiplantae; Streptophyta; Magnoliopsida; Rosales; Rosaceae. The record is from RNAcentral.